RNAcentral lists this ribosomal RNA (720 nucleotides) under Triticum aestivum (bread wheat). RNAcentral's name for it is "partial small subunit ribosomal RNA". The record is from RNAcentral. Lineage: Eukaryota; Viridiplantae; Streptophyta; Magnoliopsida; Poales; Poaceae.
AUGCCAUCUCUUCUCUUCCGGCUUGUGCGAGCCUUGUUGAAUUUGGUCAAGCAAACAUUGUACCCGGCCGCGAAGCCUGGACGUGGUGUCCCCGUCCUUGGCGGUAGCGACGCCGGCUUCAAGAGGCCGGCGGUGCUCACCUGCCCCCGGUACAUCAUCUCCGUGAUCUGUGAAUUCGCCAUGUUGAUCUGCAUCACCGGGACGCUGUGCUACUACUUCACCUACGACUUGCCACCUGAGUUCUCCGUCCACUUGACGCCGAUCCCGAGCAACAGCAGCGUGGGGGCUCCGGCCGCGACGACGUCCAUCCCCCGGGCCUUCGACGUCGUCCUGCACGCCAGCAACCGCCGCGCUACGGGGAGGUGCCACCACCACGGGGAGGGAGUGGUGACGUACGGCGGCUAUACCGUGGCGUCGGGCCACGCGCCCGACUUCUGUGUGCCGUGGAAGGGGGCGCUCGAGGUGCCGUUCGAGCUGGCGUGGGACUGGGACGACGGCGUUUACCUGCCCGAGCACCUGCGCGGACUCAUCGCGGCGGCGGAGAGAGUCUGCGCCGUGGAGUUUGAGGUCCAGGUGAGGCUCCUCCAGGGAGGCGACGCCCGCUCCGGCACGGGCACGCCGACGUGGAUGUGGUGCAAGGCGAGGAUCGGUGGGGCGCCUGGCGCCGUCACGCCCUGCACCGUGUUCGCUCCACAGAACUGGUUUUCGCCCCUGGCUUAG